UGAAAUUAUUGUCGGAAGUACUGCGGC
Molecule: non-coding RNA, 27 nt
Filed under: Bombyx mori (domestic silkworm)
Lineage: Eukaryota; Metazoa; Arthropoda; Insecta; Lepidoptera; Bombycidae
Source: RNAcentral